RNAcentral lists this ribosomal RNA (297 nucleotides) under uncultured Pseudomonadota bacterium. Its description in RNAcentral is "uncultured proteobacterium partial 16S ribosomal RNA". It matches the Rfam family "Bacterial small subunit ribosomal RNA", at positions 29 to 351 of the family's 1533-position model. Lineage: Bacteria; Pseudomonadati; Pseudomonadota. The record is from RNAcentral.
AGCGAACGCUGGCGGCAGGCUUAACACAUGCAAGUCGAACGGGUAUCUUCGGAUACUAGUGGCAGACGGGUGAGUAACACGUGGGAACGUACCUUUCGGUUCGGAAUAAUACAGGGAAACUUGUACUAAUACCGGAUACGCCCUUCGGGGGAAAGAUUUAUCGCCGAUAGAUCGGCCCGCGUCUGAUUAGCUAGUUGGUGAGGUAAUGGCUCACCAAGGCGACGAUCAGUAGCUGGUCUGAGAGGAUGAUCAGCCACACUGGGACUGAGACACGGCCCAGACUCCUACGGGUGGCUG